AACGAACGCUGGCGGCAGGCUUAACACAUGCAAGUCGAACGCCCCGCAAGGGGAGUGGCAGACGGGUGAGUAACGCGUGGGAAUCUACCCAUCCCUACGGAACAACUCCGGGAAACUGGAGCUAAUACCGUAUACGCCCUACGGGGGAAAGAUUUAUCGGGGAUGGAUGAGCCCGCGUUGGAUUAGCUAGUUGGUGGGGUAAAGGCCUACCAAGGCGACGAUCCAUAGCUAGUCUGAGAGGAUGAUCAGCCACAUUGGGACUGAGACACGGCCCAAACUCCUACGGGAGGCAGCAGUGGGGAAUAUUGGACAAUGGGCGCAAGCCUGAUCCAGCCAUGCCGCGUGAGUGAUGAAGGUCUUAGGAUUGUAAAGCUCUUUCACCGAUGAAGAUAAUGACGGUAGUCGGAGAAGAAGCCCCGGCUAACUUCGUGCCAGCAGCCGCGGUAA
RNAcentral lists this ribosomal RNA (447 nucleotides) under uncultured bacterium. RNAcentral's name for it is "partial 16S ribosomal RNA". It matches the Rfam family "Bacterial small subunit ribosomal RNA", at positions 29 to 523 of the family's 1533-position model. The record is from RNAcentral.